GGGAUGAGUUCUCACUAUUGUUGCCCCGGCUGGUCUCGAACUCCUGGGCUCAAGCAAUCUUCCCACCUUGGCCUCCCAAAGUCCUGCGAUUACAGAUGUGAGCCACUAUGCCUGGCCUAUUAUUGCUGUAUUCUAACUUAUCCAUUCUAUUCUAACGUAUCUCUUAUGGUACGAUUUUUUUGUUUUUUCUAAUUUAUGUUUUCAUACAUUUAUAUAUCGUGCUAUGUUAAAUAGCUUCGUAUAGUUGUCUUUCAUUCAGUGAUUUUAGCCUCCUGAUGAUCUUCUCUAUCAGUUAUGGCACUGGUGACUUAAAAUGAAUGUUCUUCCUCUGUCAUUCCUCCUACAUUUGUUAGCUGGCAUCUUUAACAACAAGCUUUCACUUCUCCUCUUUAUUUCAGUAUCACUGCUGACUAAUGCACUUGCGUUUUAUUCCAUGCAUUUUCCAUCACCAUCAUUGUUCUUUCUGAUGCCUGUGCUGUCCCAGAUUCGGCCGUGGGAGCCUUCAGCUUGUCUCCUGUGUCCUUUCAACUGUCUCUGUUAGUCUUUGAGCAUUUCUUACUUUCUGACAGAAGAGGAUCCAGGCUCAUUUUGCCCUCUUCCUGCCUUGGGCCUGGACUCAGCCAUUUCUCUUAAGGAUCAUGUGUUUUUAGCUUAGAAAUUAAUCAGCUUUCCAAAAGAUUUAAAAAACACUAACUUCCCUUUUGAGCAAUUUUUUUCUAAAAUUAGAUGUUUUUUUAAAAGGAUUAUUCCUUUAUUCUCUCUAUAAGUUCUUUUGAAGUGUGGCAUUAGGGAACCAUGCCUGAGUUUGGUUAUUAACUCUUCCAUUGUUUAUCAGAUCACUUUUUCCCUGCGCUAUGUCAUCUUAAACAUGUUAAACAAUUCCUUGACAUUUUCUAUUUCUUUGUAUUUUCAUUGACUAUAUUGCCAUUUCUAGGUUGGCUGAUUAAUGCACAAAUUGAAGUAUUUUGCAUUUCCUUGGUAAUUUAGGCUGUUGAUGUCAGAGGAGGAAAAACAAAUGGGCUUGAAAACUGGUUGAAUGCAUUGGAAAGCCAUUUUUGGAGAUGAUUCUAAACUGGCCUCUAAAGCUGGAAGGUGAAAUAACAGUUGAAAAUAAUGACAUGUAUAAGGUGUGUUUGGAAGAUUGCAGAUGCAGGGGCACCGUACUGCUGAAGGAGUGUUGGAAGCUCACUACAGAAGAUCAUAAAAGCAGACUGAUGUGUAUUACUUGCUGAAAUAUAAACUGGAGGCACAGGUGAAGAUUACUAAACCUAAUGAGCAGUUUGGCAGAUAAGACAGGCUGUCAGGCCGUGGCAGUUCAGCAGUGGGCGUGCUGCCUGUGAACCAAGUCAUUUGUUCCAGAGGACUACACUUGAAUACCACAAAUAAAAUUUUCCUUGUCACUGAUAUUUGGUAUCACAA
This is a long non-coding RNA of Piliocolobus tephrosceles (Ugandan red Colobus), 1419 nucleotides long. RefSeq lists it as uncharacterized. Lineage: Eukaryota; Metazoa; Chordata; Mammalia; Primates; Cercopithecidae. The record is from RefSeq and is a predicted model, not a curated record. The transcript has 2 exons.